RNAcentral lists this ribosomal RNA (410 nucleotides) under uncultured bacterium. RNAcentral describes it as "bacterial SSU rRNA". It matches the Rfam family "Bacterial small subunit ribosomal RNA", at positions 9 to 420 of the family's 1533-position model. The record is from RNAcentral.
GAGUUUGAUCCUGGCUCAGGAUAAACGCUGGCGGCGUGCAUGAGACAUGCAAGUCGAACGGACGAUCAGGGCUUGCUCUGAUCGUUAGUGGCGGACGGCUGAGUAACGCGUAGGUGACCUGCCCCGAAGUGGGGAAUAACUGCCCGAAAGGGUGGCUAAUACCGCAUGUGGUGGUGUGUUCAUUCACACCAGUAAAGCCGCAAGGCGCUUCGGGAGGGGCCUGCGUCCGAUUAGCUCGUUGGUGGGGUAACGGCUCACCAAGGCGACGAUCGGUAGGUGGUCUGAGAGGACGAUCACCCAGACUGGGACUGAGACACGGCCCAGACUCCUACGGGAGGCAGCAGUCGGGAAUUUUGCGCAAUGGACGAAAGUCUGACGCAGCAACGCCGCGUGAGGGAUGAAGGCCUCGG